GAUGAACGCUGGCGGCGUGCCUAAUACAUGCAAGUCGAGCGAACGGACGAGAAGCUUGCUUCUCUGAUGUUAGCGGCGGACGGGUGAGUAACACGUGGAUAACCUACCUAUAAGACUGGGAUAACUUCGGGAAACCGGAGCUAAUACCGGAUAAUAUUUUGAACCGCAUGAUUCAAAAGUGAAAGACGGUCUUGCUGUCACUUAUAGAUGGAUCCGCGCUGCAUUAGCUAGUUGGUAAGGUAACGGCUUACCAAGGCAACGAUGCAUAGCCGACCUGAGAGGGUGAUCGGCCACACUGGAACUGAGACACGGUCCAGACUCCUACGGGAGGCAGCAGUAGGGAAUCUUCCGCAAUGGGCGAAAGCCUGACGGAGCAACGCCGCGUGAGUGAUGAAGGUCUUCGGAUCGUAAAACUCUGUUAUUAGGGAAGAACAUAUGUGUAAGUAACUGUGCCCAUCUUGACGGUACCUAAUCAGAAAGCCACGGCUAACUACGU
This 496-nucleotide ribosomal RNA is filed under the name uncultured bacterium. RNAcentral describes it as "partial 16S ribosomal RNA". It matches the Rfam family "Bacterial small subunit ribosomal RNA", at positions 28 to 506 of the family's 1533-position model. The record is from RNAcentral.